GACGAACGCUGGCGGCGUGCCUAAUACAUGCAAGUCGAGCGAACCUGAUAAAAGCUUGCUUUUUGAAGGUYAGCGGCGGACGGGUGAGUAACACGUGGGCAACCUGCCUGUAAGACUGGGAUAACUUCGGGAAACCGGAGCUAAUACCGGAUAAUAUAAAGAACCUCCUGGUUCUUUAUUGAAAGAUGGUUUCGGCUAUCACUUACAGAUGGGCCCGCGUCGCAUUAGCUAGUUGGUGAGGUAAYGGCUCACCAAGGCGACGAUGCGUAGCCGACCUGAGAGGGUGAUCGGCCACACUGGGACUGAGACACGGCCCAGACUCCUACGGGAGGCAGCAGUAGGGAAUCUUCCACAAUGGACGAAAGUCUGAUGGAGCAACGCCGCGUGAGCGAUGAAGGCCUUCGGGUCGUAAAGCUCUGUUGUUAGGGAAGAACAAGUACCGGAGUAACUGCCGGUACCAUGACGGUACCUAACCAGAAAGCCACGGCUAACUACGUGCCAGCAGCCGCGGUAAUACGUAGGUGGCAAGCGUUGUCCGGAAUUAUUGGGCGUAAAGCGCGCGCAGGCGGUUUCUUAAGUCUGAUGUGAAAGCCCACGGCUCAACCGUGGAGGGUCAUUGGAAACUGGGAAACUUGAGUGCAGAAGAGGAGAGUGGAAUUCCACGUGUAGCGGUGAAAUGCGUAGAGAUGUGGAGGAACACCAGUGGCGAAGGCGACUCUCUGGUCU
This 726-nucleotide ribosomal RNA is filed under the name Bacillus sp. (in: firmicutes). RNAcentral's name for it is "bacterial SSU rRNA". It matches the Rfam family "Bacterial small subunit ribosomal RNA", at positions 28 to 735 of the family's 1533-position model. The record is from RNAcentral. Lineage: Bacteria; Bacillati; Bacillota; Bacilli; Caryophanales; Bacillaceae.